RNAcentral lists this ribosomal RNA (442 nucleotides) under uncultured Lachnospiraceae bacterium. Its description in RNAcentral is "partial 16S ribosomal RNA". It matches the Rfam family "Bacterial small subunit ribosomal RNA", at positions 341 to 792 of the family's 1533-position model. The record is from RNAcentral. Lineage: Bacteria; Bacillati; Bacillota; Clostridia; Lachnospirales; Lachnospiraceae.
ACGGAAGGCAGCAGUGGGGGAUAUUGGUCAAUGGGGGAAACCCUGAACCAGCGACGCCGCGUGAGUGAAGAAGUAUUUCGGUAUGUAAAGCUCUAUCAGCAGGGAAGAAAAAAUCAAAAUUGACAGUACCUGACUAAGAAGCCCCGGCUAAAUACGUGCCAGCAGCCGCGGUAAUACGUAUGGUGCAAGCGUUAUCCGGAUUUACUGGGUGUAAGGGAGCGUAGGCGGCUAUGCAAGUCAGGUGUGAAAACCCGGGGCUCAACUCCGGGACUGCACUUGAAACUGCGAAGCUCGAGUACGGGAGAGGCAAGUGGAAUUCCUAGUGUAGCGGUGAAAUGCGUAGAUAUUAGGAAGAACACCAGUGGCGAAGGCGACUUGCUGGACCGCAACUGACGCUGAGGCUCGAAAGCGUGGGGAGCAAACAGGAUUAGAUACCCUGGUA